This is a non-coding RNA of Pelobates cultripes (western spadefoot toad), 216 nucleotides long. Lineage: Eukaryota; Metazoa; Chordata; Amphibia; Anura; Pelobatidae. The record is from the annotation of a GenBank genome assembly.
AUCAAGAUUCUAAACUACACCUACUGGUUAUUGUGGGUAGGUUACCUAUAAACCAGGAAUGCAUACCAUGAUUGAUAAUUAUACUUGUAAACUGAUAGACAAUGAAGGUUGGUAGAACCACUUUUACCAAAAACAGAUACUUUUUGGGACACCUGGAUUUCAGCUGAAUUUUGAUUCCAGAACAGUUUGGAACAGGGUGCAAAAAUGGGCUAAUUG